This 492-nucleotide ribosomal RNA is filed under the name uncultured bacterium. RNAcentral's name for it is "partial 16S ribosomal RNA". It matches the Rfam family "Bacterial small subunit ribosomal RNA", at positions 29 to 507 of the family's 1533-position model. The record is from RNAcentral.
AGUGAACGCUGGCGGUAGGCCUAAUACAUGCAAGUCGAGCGACAGCACAGGAAGAGUUUGCUCUUACGGGUGGCGAGGGGCGGGCGGGUGAGAAAUAGAUCGGAAUCUACUUUGACGUGGGGGAUAACGGGGGGACACUUACGCUAAUACAGCAUACGACCUACGGGUGAAAGCAGUAGAUCUUCGGACCUUUCCUGAUUGAAUUAGCCGAUGUCGGAUUAGCUAGUUGGGUGGGUAACGGCCCACCAAGGCGACGAUACGUAGCUGGUCUGAGAGGAUGAUCGGCCACACUGGAACUGAGACACGGUCCAGACUCCUACGGGAGGCAGCAGUGGGGAAUAUUGGGCAAUGGGCGCAAGCCUGAUCCAGCCACGCCGCGUGGGUGAAGAAGGUCUUCGGGUUGUAAAGCUCUUUUGUUGGGAAAGAACAGCUGCAGGUUAAACUCCCGCUGUUCUGACGGUACCCAAUCAGUAAGCAACGGCUAACUUCGUG